CACUGUCGGACAUGCAAAGGUUCCCCGUCCGGGCCCGCCACGGGCCCGGGGAUGAAACGGGAAUGCGGUGCGGGCCGACCCUGACGGGGGCCCAAGGCCGCAGCCGCCCCCGCGACUGUAAGCGGCGAGCGGCCUGCCAACGGCCACUGGGGAGCGCCCCGGGAAGGCGGCAGGUGCGCAGCGACCCGCGAGCCAGGAGACCGGCCUUUAGCGACAUGCAACC
This 223-nucleotide non-coding RNA is filed under the name Wenxinia marina. The record is from RNAcentral. Lineage: Bacteria; Pseudomonadati; Pseudomonadota; Alphaproteobacteria; Rhodobacterales; Roseobacteraceae.